UUUAUAUAAAUAUAUAUCAUAACUUAAAUAUAAAUAAUUUAACAACUUAAAUUAGAAAAAAAUAAAAAUCCUGGGCGUAGUCCGGGUUAAUUCCUAGUACAAUAGAUAAAAAGAGAAUAAGAUCAACAUCUAAACUGUCCACGUAGGACUAAAAAAUCAACCAAUAAAAAAGAGUUAUUUUCCCAUGUCAUAAGAGCUUUGUUCGAAAAUGAUAAAUACCGAGACUUUCGUGUUGGCUAUUCGCCCAGUCAAGCCAAUUUCUGGAAAUGGCUCACAAACUUUCUCUUCUCAGUUUCGGAUCCCUGCAAUUCUUCAUUACCACAACAAUUCCUUUGUCAAUCAAUUAUCUUUUACUCCUUUCUUUAUGGUUUCUUUUCACCUCCCUAUUAUCUUUUCCUAUAAAAAUCGUUUCUUCCAAACUUUAAUUCGAAAAACCUCCACUAAUGAAGGUAAAGCUAUGGCCAUGAAAAAUAAAUAAUUCAGAGUCUGUUGCUCUUCCUCUACUCUUCAUACCCGGUAAUCAAACCCCACAGUAUUCAUAGCUAUAGAGAACGGCGAAAUCCACCGCCACAGCCCCGGCUCAAUUUAUAAGGAUGUGAUCGUUUACCAUCAAGUUUGCUUGCUUACAUGGUUGCAGCUUCAUAACUCGUGCCAUGUUUGUCAUACGAGUUCAUGACUCAUGGAGGUCAGACCAGUGGGGAAGACGGACAACGAACGGUUGAGAGUUCGCCGACGCCGAGGAGACAUGAUACGAAUUAGGAUUCUGGGAGUGGAUCUGAUAUCGAUACUACAUAAGAUGAAUUGGAUUGAGAAAUUCAUGGCAUACAAUGAAAUUCUCAAAACAUUUGAAGAUCAAGAGGAGUUAAAAGAGGUUUGACCUUCAAAUGCUAGCAAGAAGGCGGAUCAAUGGGUAGCUUUUCGAAUAUACUCUGUAGACAUUCCUUUUACCUGUUCUUCUCUCCAAUAUUUGUGUUGCCACUUGCCAGUGUUAACAAUGGGUUAUGGAAAUGGGGAAGAAGCUCGCAGAGAGGAUAAGGAGCAAAGGGCCUUAUAUUGUCCUGAGUGUAUCUAAUUGUGGCUUUGAAAAUUCAUUUUCUACACCGAAGAAAAGAAGAAGCCAGUGACUGUUUUAACGUUUUGUUGUCUUCUAAGCUCUGUAAAUGUUUAUAAAACUGGUGUUUGAUGAUUAUGUGCCUCACAUUGUUUUUAUUUUUAUGGAUAGGUUGAAUCCCAGCUCACUGAAUAAAAAAAAAAUACCCAACUCCGUAUUUUCGAAUGGUCUUACAUAACUGUCUCCACUGGGAUCAGUGGCCUUAUGCUACUGUCGAUAUACUACAGAUUCCACCAACGCCAUAUCUACAAAGCCAAAAAGGAGGAAGAUGAACAUGACGACUUGAAGCCAGCCUCUAUCGCUGGGGGUGGAAACUGCAGCAAAUCAUAGUAGACACUACAAGGGGAGUCAUUCACCAAUGAUGUUUUAUCGUUACAUGGAUUCCAGUUUUAUUCAUUUGAAACUCUGGUUGAAGCAAAAGAAGUUUUCUUUUCUGUUACAAAGCUUUCCCAAUCUAAAGACACUGGUUUGGGAGAGAACGGUUUACUUGACCAUAAAGGAACUUUCUCCAUCAGUUGCUAAGGUUCAUAGUUUGCAAUUUGCUUAGGUGGCUGAAUCCUAACACCAAUACUGAAGAAAAGAAGAGAAAGAAGAAAAACUUACAAGGCUAAAAGAUGUUAAGGGUCAUUAAAAGGAUAAAUCACUGCAAGAGCAUCAUUUCGAAGUAUUGGACUUAACGUGUGUUUUUUUUUUUUUAUCUUGGGAGUAUUCCUUAUGUACUGCUAUUAGAUUACAUUGAUAAGAUAAGAAAUGUAUUUCUUAAUUUGUUUUACCAGUGCCAACAAUCACAAAAUUAUAAUUUGUUCUUCUUCUUUCAGAUUCUAAUGAUUGGUUGUUAUUUGAGUUAUUGUGAUUUUCAGUAGGGAUGUUUAAAUGAAGAUAGAAUCUAACAAGUCAGUGUCGGAGGUUAAUAAUGAAAUUGAGAGUGAGGAUGGUAGUGAAUAAGUUUGUAGUUGAUCAUUUUAAAUUACGUUUUAUUGUGUAUAAUCAAAUUCAUGAUGAUAACGGUGACCAAGGUUGAAAUUUGUAGCAUGAGUACAUAUGGUUGAUCUCUUUGUCUUCUUUAUGUUUUCGUAAAAUUGUUAUGGGAAUGAGUAAAAGAGAGUGUUUUUCUUUAUUAUU
Brassica napus (rape) is the source of this 2233-nucleotide long non-coding RNA. RefSeq lists it as uncharacterized. NCBI's taxonomy places the organism in Eukaryota, Viridiplantae, Streptophyta, Magnoliopsida, Brassicales, Brassicaceae. The record is from RefSeq and is a predicted model, not a curated record. The transcript is spliced from 7 exons.